GACGAACGCUGGCGGCGUGCUUAACACAUGCAAGUCGAACGGAAAGGCCUGCUUUCCCUUGUGGAUUGCGGGUACUCGAGUGGCGAACGGGUGAGUAACACGUGAGUGAUCUGCCCCCAACUUGGGUAUAAGCCUGGGAAACUGGGUCUAAUUCCCGAUAGGACUGCAGGGUGGUGCCUGUGGUGGAAAACGAUUUUCUAGUGGUUGGGGAUGAGCUCGCGGCCUAUCAGCUUGUUGGUGGGGUAAUGGCCUACCAAGGCGGCGACGGGUAGCCGGCCUGAGAGGGUGGACGGCCACAUUGGGACUGAGAUACGGCCCAGACUCCGACGGGAGGCAGCAGUGGGGAAUAUUGCACAAUGGGCGGAAGCCUGAAGCAGCGACGCCGCGUGGGGGAUGACGGCCUUCGGGUUGUAAACUCCUUUCGACCGCGAGGAAGCCACCUGGUUGGAAGGGUGGUGACGGUAGUGGUAGAAGAAGCACCGGCUAACUACGUG
This 494-nucleotide ribosomal RNA is filed under the name uncultured bacterium. RNAcentral describes it as "partial 16S ribosomal RNA". It matches the Rfam family "Bacterial small subunit ribosomal RNA", at positions 28 to 507 of the family's 1533-position model. The record is from RNAcentral.